Etheostoma spectabile (orangethroat darter) is the source of this 120-nucleotide long non-coding RNA. RefSeq lists it as uncharacterized. Lineage: Eukaryota; Metazoa; Chordata; Actinopteri; Perciformes; Percidae. The record is from RefSeq and is a predicted model, not a curated record. The transcript has 3 exons.
CAUUGUGCAUUUUUGGAAUUGGCACGUCCUUCAACAUGGCGCGCAGAGAACGAUUUAUAGGUCAUAAGCUGGAGAAUCGAGGACCGAGGAGUCGAGGAGGUACAAAUUUGAGAAUUGGGA